This is a long non-coding RNA of Pogoniulus pusillus (Red-fronted tinkerbird), 1092 nucleotides long. RefSeq lists it as uncharacterized. NCBI's taxonomy places the organism in Eukaryota, Metazoa, Chordata, Aves, Piciformes, Lybiidae. The record is from RefSeq and is a predicted model, not a curated record. The transcript is spliced from 3 exons.
UUGCAGUGCACUGGAGAAGCUCAGAACUGAAUUUGAGGAAAGAAUGGCCUCAGGUGGGAAUGGUACCUUCAUCAGAGGAAACUGCAAGAGCCACUCGGGGAUGAGACAUCUCACAGGAAAAAAGAUCUUGUGAGGUCAGUUUUCUCCUUGACACUUUCCCUAAACGGCGGUGGGAGGAAGUAAGCUGUCAAUUGAAAGCCAUCACUUUUUGGUAGCCCUGGGCUGCAGAGGGCUCUCAGCCCAGCGGCGCAGCUCCGCGCUCAGCGGCGCAGCUCCGCGCUCGCUUCCUGCCGGCGCAGCCAACAGGAAAUCCACGUGAAAGAAAUCGCCAGAAAGCUGCGGGGGCCUCAGGCUGCUCACGGACUCAGCCUACUUCACAAACUGGGGCUGGCUUAGAGGUGGAAGGAUCACCACAGCUGCGCUGACAAAAGCUCCUAGGUCAGAAUAAUUCAUCCCAUCAAAAGAGCACUUUCGCCUAGAAGGUGUUUUUCACCCAAGGACUGCCGGAUGAAACUCCUCCAGAAGAUACUCCAGGUCUAAGAUGUGGCUACAGCAAUAUUUGCUGCUUUGGUGUAACAACACGAGCAAAUGUUCCCUCUUUAGCUCUGUCCCAAGCUUCCUGCUCCACAGGUAAUAAAGGAAAUAGGAAAUCAGAGAUCAGGAAGGCAGUGAGGAAAUCUCGAGGUCCAGAGAGGAAUCUCCCAAAGCAGAGAUCCCACUGGGAAACAGGAACGUCAGGGACCUUCCUGCCCUGCUGCAGCCUUGCAGCCCCCACAGGCUGCAGAAGCACCUAGCUGCAGGGUAUUGGGGGGGGGGAGGGAGAAAUUGUGCAACAGCCUCAAUCGGCGCUGAAAUGAGGAAGGAAAUAAUGUGUUAAAUGAUUUAAUUUUCCGAGUUGUUGUUCCUCACAGAUAGACCUAGGGUGGGAGCUGAUUGCACUGCCUUGUUUUGAUUAACGAGCCAGAUCUGAGACGUUCCUGUUCCCUUUCAGAGAGUUUCCACAGCUUCUAUUCCAUUUUCAUAGCAGGGUCAGGAAUUCAAAGGACAUUUAUCUUUCACUCUUUGUAGCUAAAUAAAUGAUUCUCAACAAUA